Molecule: ribosomal RNA, 468 nt
Filed under: uncultured bacterium
Lineage: Bacteria
Description: partial 16S ribosomal RNA
Rfam family: Bacterial small subunit ribosomal RNA
Source: RNAcentral
GACGAACGCUGGCGGCGUGCUUAACACAUGCAAGUCGAACGGAAAGGCCCUGCUUUUGUGGGGUGCUCGAGUGGCGAACGGGUGAGUAACACGUGAGUAACCUGCCCUUGACUUUGGGAUAACUUCAGGUAACUGGGGCUAAUACCGGAUAGGAGCUCCUGCUGCAUGGUGGGGGUUGGAAAGUUUCGGCGGUUGGGGAUGGACUCGCGGCUUAUCAGCUUGUUGGUGGGGUAGUGGCUUACCAAGGCUUUGACGGGUAGCCGGCCUGAGAGGGUGACCGGCCACAUUGGGACUGAGAUACGGCACAGACUCCUACGGGAGGCAGCAGUGGGGAAUAUUGCACAAUGGGCGGAAGCCUGAUGCAGCAACGCCGCGUGCGGGAUGACGGCCUUCGGGUUGUAAACCGCUUUCGCCUGUGACGAAGCGUGAGUGACGGUAAUGGGUAAAGAAGCACCGGCUAACUACGUG